CACGUAGGGGGCGAGCGUUGUCCGGAUUCAUCGGGCGUAAAGGGCGCGCAGGCGGCCCGGCAAGUCGGAUGUGAAAACUCGAGGCUCAACCUCGAGCGUGCACCCGAUACUGCCGGGCUUGAGGCAGGUAGGGGAGAUCGGAAUUCCUGGUGUAGCGGUGAAAUGCGCAGAUAUCAGGAGGAACACCGGUGGCGAAGGCGGAUCUCUGGGCCUGUCCUGACGCUGAGGCGCGAAAGCUAGGGGAGCGAACAGG
RNAcentral lists this ribosomal RNA (253 nucleotides) under uncultured bacterium. RNAcentral describes it as "partial 16S ribosomal RNA". It matches the Rfam family "Bacterial small subunit ribosomal RNA", at positions 524 to 776 of the family's 1533-position model. The record is from RNAcentral.